RNAcentral lists this long non-coding RNA (565 nucleotides) under Gossypium barbadense (sea-island cotton). Its description in RNAcentral is "long non-coding RNA (GBAR_LNC014785)". Lineage: Eukaryota; Viridiplantae; Streptophyta; Magnoliopsida; Malvales; Malvaceae. The record is from RNAcentral.
UCGACUUUGGACGGGAGAUAAACACGAAAUAGGGGCGUUUUGGUCUGCACAAUCAAACUUAAAGCUCGAGAACAUCAGCUAACCUAAGGUUAAGGACGACAACCACUUAGAAUCUAUAAAUAGACUCCUUUGACACUUGUUAUAGACACCAUUCACUUAGCCUAGGUUCUCUCUUUUAAAAUUAGUUUAGUUUCUUUCUUUCUUAUGUUUUUAGAAUUUAUUUUCACUUGUUCUUUGUUUGCAAGAGAUUUAAUUUGUGGAGAUCGUUAAACUCUGUGGAUUAUUUUCAUCUUUAAUACAAACCAGACAUUUUCUUAAACUCUACACUUUAAUCCAUUUAUCAUGUUUUCUCUUUACAUCAACUCCAUAUUAUUUAUGAAAGCCAUGAGGAACUAAUCCUCCUAUUGGGGAUUAACGAGUGGAGGUAUGAUCUAUUAACUAUUUUGUAGGGUUACUCAACGGAUCAGUUGUUUCAGAAAGGAAGAAUGUGAAACAAAACCUAGGUCUGACAACCCCGGUAAGUUAUCAAGGUGGGAAUUAACCCAAAAUUGGUAUUGCCCAUCCG